GAACGUACCUUUUGGUUCGGAACAACACAGGGAAACUUGUGCUAAUACCGGAUAAGCCCUUACGGGGAAAGAUUUAUCGCCGAAAGAUCGGCCCGCGUCUGAUUAGCUAGUUGGUAGGGUAACGGCCUACCAAGGCGACGAUCAGUAGCUGGUCUGAGAGGAUGAUCAGCCACAUUGGGACUGAGACACGGCCCAAACUCCUACGGGAGGCAGCAGUGGGGAAUAUUGGACAAUGGGGGCAACCCUGAUCCAGCCAUGCCGCGUGAGUGAUGAAGGCCCUAGGGUUGUAAAGCUCUUUUGUGCGGGAAGAUAAUGACGGUACCGCAAGAAUAAGCCCCGGCUAACUUCGUGCCAGCAGCCGCGGUAAUACGAAGGGGGCUAGCGUUGCUCGGAAUCACUGGGCGUAAAGGGUGCGUAGGCGGGUCUUUAAGUCAGGGGUGAAAUCCUGGAGCUCAACUCCAGAACUGCCUUUGAUACUGAAGAUCUUGAGUUCGGGAGAGGUGAGUGGAACUGCGAGU
RNAcentral lists this ribosomal RNA (518 nucleotides) under uncultured bacterium. Its description in RNAcentral is "bacterial SSU rRNA". It matches the Rfam family "Bacterial small subunit ribosomal RNA", at positions 122 to 674 of the family's 1533-position model. The record is from RNAcentral.